AAAUUGAAGAGUUUGAUCAUGGCUCAGAUUGAACGCUGGCGGCAGGCCUAACACAUGCAAGUCGAACGGUAACAGGAAACAGCUUGCUGUUUCGCUGACGAGUGGCGGACGGGUGAGUAAUGUCUGGGAAACUGCCUGAUGGAGGGGGAUAACUACUGGAAACGGUAGCUAAUACCGCAUAAUGUCGCAAGACUAAAGAGGGGGACCUUCGGGCCUCUUGCCAUCGGAUGUGCCCAGAUGGGAUUAGCUAGUAGGUGGGGUAACGGCUCACCUAGGCGACGAUCCCUAGCUGGUCUGAGAGGAUGACCAGCCACACUGGAACUGAGACACGGUCCAGACUCCUACGGGAGGCAGCAGUGGGGAAUAUUGCACAAUGGGCGCAAGCCUGAUGCAGCCAUGCCGCGUGUAUGAAGAAGGCCUUCGGGUUGUAAAGUACUUUCAGCGGGGAGGAAGGGAGUAAAGUUAAUACCUUUACUCAUUGACGUUACCCGCAGAAGAAGCACCGGCUAACUCCGUGCCAGCAGCCGCGGUAAUACGGAGGGUGCAAGCGUUAAUCGGAAUUACUGGGCGUAAAGCGCACGCAGGCGGUUUGUUAAGUCAGAUGUGAAAUCCCCGGGCUCAAC
Molecule: ribosomal RNA, 623 nt
Filed under: Shigella sonnei
Lineage: Bacteria; Pseudomonadati; Pseudomonadota; Gammaproteobacteria; Enterobacterales; Enterobacteriaceae
Description: bacterial SSU rRNA
Rfam family: Bacterial small subunit ribosomal RNA
Source: RNAcentral